RNAcentral lists this long non-coding RNA (213 nucleotides) under Physcomitrium patens. RNAcentral describes it as "long non-coding RNA (PPAT_LNC014755)". Lineage: Eukaryota; Viridiplantae; Streptophyta; Bryopsida; Funariales; Funariaceae. The record is from RNAcentral.
UACUUGUAAGGCCAAAGGCUUAGAAUCCAAGCCUCUUAUGUCUUGCCAAACAAAUCAGUAGAUGACUUGUUGGUCAAGUUUCAAAAAGUCUCUCAAGAAGCUUUUUGAAAGGACUUGUGGUCUAAGCCAUACUACAUGGCUUCUUUUCUAAGCUAUUCUAGAAGCUUUUUAGAAAGCCGAUUGACAUGGCUUAGCUUUUAAGUUACUUUCCAC